Molecule: long non-coding RNA, 10517 nt
Organism: Bombus terrestris (buff-tailed bumblebee)
Lineage: Eukaryota; Metazoa; Arthropoda; Insecta; Hymenoptera; Apidae
Exons: 3
Source: RefSeq, a predicted model, not a curated record
CAUCAACUAGUCUAUCGUAAUUUAAAAACUGAUUCAUUCGACUUAUGAUCAACACUGUGUGAGAUAGAAAGGGAGAAAUUUCAUUUUCGACGAGAAAGUGCGAACAUUAUUCCGUAGGAGAUUGAUCUGACUACGUUCAAGGAAAACAGUAUACGCUUUGCCGGUGUGGUCAAUGAAACGCGAAAUGUGCUAAUUUCACUUUUUUCUACUACUAUUUCUCAUGUAUAAUAUUAUGAACGUUUAAUGAUGCUUUGAUUUGUUUCUUUCUUAUUGGUUGAUUAGUUAGUACUUGAAUUUGAUAACUUUCUAUAGUGGACUCAAGUUAGUAGACGAUUUUCUGAUGUUCUAAUGUUUUUUGAACUAUCCUAACCUUAAAUAUUAUGAGCCAAAUGUUAAUCUUCAUUUCAAUUGUACUUUAAAGCUUACUUUGCAGUAUUUGAAAAUGAAAUCUUUUUAUCUUUAGGUUAAUACAAGGACUAUCACGAUUAAUUCAAUUAUUUAUUAUUAAUUCAAUUGUAAUAACUUACUUUGGAGUAUUUGAAAAUGAAAUCUUUUUAUCUUUAGGUUAAUACAAAGACUAUCACGAUUAAUUCAAUUAUUUAUUCAAUUGUAAUAGUUUACUUUGCAGUAUUUGAAAAUGAAAUCUUUUUAUUUUUAGGUUAAUACAAAGACUAUCACGAUUAAUUCAAUUAUUUAUUAUUAAUUCAAUUGUAAUAACUUACUUUGCAGUAUUUGAAAAUGAAAUCUUUUUAUCUUUAGACUAUCACGAUUAAUUCAAUUAUUUAUUCAAUUGUAAUAGUUUACUUCGCAGUAUUUGAAAAUGAAAUCUUUUUAUCUUUAGGUUAAUACAAAGACUAUCACGAUUAAUUCAAUUAUUUAUUAUUAAUUCAAUUGUAAUAGCUUACUUUGCAGUAUUUGAAAAUGAAAUCUUUUUAUCUUUAGGUUAAUACAAAGACUAUCACGAUUAAUUCAAUUAACAUUGAUUCAUAUAUUUUAGUAAGAUUAUAACACAGUAUCCAGAUAGUUAUGAGCAGAGAUAUAAUUUCAACCAGAAGAGUCUUAAACCAAUGGACCACCAAUAAGUAUUAAAAAAUACUCGCUUAUUACCAAAACUGUACAAAAAUUUGUUAUCCAAUUUGAAUUCGUAUGUAUAUCCUUUGCCAGUAAAACAACAAAAUGUAAACACGAAACCUUUCACACCAAUCAACAUAACACGGAACACCUUUCAGCCACUCUCCACGCACUCUUCUGAAGAAUAUAACCAGCUCGCCAAAAAACAAGAUCACUAAAACGACACCCGUAUCACAAGCAGGCUACCGACCAAAAAACUUUCCCUCGAACAGGCCAAUCGGCAAAACGAGAUCAACUCACUCUGCAGAGGCGGCGACAUCAUAACCCGAAUGCAAGGAGCCACAAUCAGUUCCUCGGGUUGGCACGCGCUGUUGGAACACCAAGAGAUUCUCCAGGAUACGACAAGGACGCGUCGAAGGGACAGGGACAACGGAGAAAGCGAGCGUCGUAAGGAAGGAAGGAGGAAAGAUAGUAGGCAACGAAGAGGAAAAGAAGAGACAAAGAUGCAGCUAGGAAGGAGCAACAGAGAGAGCUAAACCAAGAGGGAGAGGGAAAGAGCGUACAAUGUGCAGAAUGGGAAGAGAGCAAGAGAAAGGAGAGGGAGAGGCAAUCUCACUCUCAGUGACACGUAAACUGGACUGCAGAAGCAAACAUAGCCUCGUCGUUGGCGAUGUCCCGCAGGCUCACUGCAAGUGGUUGCAAAUGUUCGUCGUAAUGACGCUGCCGUUUUUCUGGAGUAUAUCCACUUGAUGCCCUCGCCUUGCCCAAGAAACACGGUAAUGGUUCUUGGCUGAUCGUUAACCGACUGGUUCACUUGGAAAUGCGAUGUUAAUUGGUUAUUAAUCGACCAUUAACCAGAUGGCCUCGAUAAAACCGGAACAUUUUGCUUCGUAUAUCGGCAAACUAUUCUAUUGAAUCUUUUAUUGCAUCGAACAGACGCAUACGUACGAAUUCAUUAACGUGAGAUGGUGUAAAAUUACUGGUUAAUUAUAAAUUGCUCAUUAAUCGAUAAGAAAUACCGAAAACAGGAUACAGCAGUUCUUUUGUUCCUACGUUUCUCUCGAAUCUAUAUAUAAAUUUAUAUUUUACAUAUUUAUCUAAAUUAUUUACAGACUCUUAUCACAGGUUAAUUAAUCAUCCAACAACACGUGAUGGAUUUCAGAUUUACAUAUCAUCAUCGUGAAUCUUAAGUUCAAACUCGUUCGCAUUCGAGUAUCAGACUGCUACCAAAUUAAUUGAUAUUCAAUUAGGUCCCGGGAGUCUUUUUACAGGGAAGUUUUAAACUUAAUGGGAAUCCGUUGCCCGAACACAUGCUCCAAAUUCCCAAGUAAAGUGGCCAAAAAGCGCGAUUUUAAUUAACACUUCAUUAGCCAAAUUGGUAAAGCAUAAUCAGUUUCAGCAAAUUUUUAAUUCACCAAGAAACGAUGCAGUACGUAUCUUAUAUGUCGAAACUAAUUAUUCAAAACGGUGUUCCUAAUUAAAAGUUAAUUAAUCAAUUAGUAGAAAACGAUUCUCUGUAUCAGAAGACACUGAAUACAUUGGAACGAAUCCUGAUCCAUUUCUGAACGUUACAUUGGGCAAAGAGAUCUGGAAUAGGCAUUCUUACGUAAUCCAAGUGGAACGAGUCCUUUUCCGGACUCGAUUCUCGGAUCGUCCCUAAUGAUACGGACUAUCCGCCGCCAAUGAGACAUAAAUCGCUUAAUCAUCGUUACCGUACUCUCCAACAUUCCACCGUUUCUCGUUUCACUCAGUCGUAAGCAUGGAUUAGCAGAAACCUCUAGUCUCCUUUCUGCUUAUUUUACCGCGAUACACAUGAAUGAUUUUUCAGGGCGAUUCCAGGAGUAUAGGUUCGUGAUAAUAACGCUAGCUAUGAAUCAUGCUCGGCUCAGUCAAGUCACAACUUCUCCGUUUAUUUCUCUGACAAAUAUCCGUUUAACAUGCUGUUUGCCGAUACAUGGAGAAAUGUAGAAAAGGAAUUUAAGAUUAUGGAGGAGGAUGUGAAAGAGUAACAUCUAUUCUGUAGGAAAAUUGUCCAAAGAUUAGAGAAAGGUGUAAUCGUGAAUAUUCGCGGCUACUCGGUUAUCCCCACCUUCUGCGUUAUCAUGAGAGGAUCACAGUGCGUUUUGACGCUCAGCCAAUAAGCAUAGAGUUUUUGUCCCCUCUACUUUACAUUUAUUCUUACUGGCUAUAAAGUGGGAACUGUAUAAUACGUUUUUAAAUAAUUUACCUCUUCUUCAAAAGCAAUCUUUGCAUUUUGUUAUUAAUUGAUUUUUUGUUUCUGGCAAAAUGAACUGGGAGGAGAAAUUUCUGUUUAUUGGUCAUCAAUUAGGCAGAUCCGCAACUUAUAGUUGGAGUUCCUUAUUUAUGAUGGCACGCUGUCUGUUCCGUUUGACUUGAGGUUAAAAUAGAUGCAUAAACAUAAAGCUGCAUCUGGAACGAACUGUUAAUACCCAGUAGCAUUUGCUCACGCUGCUUCUCUUUGAUUUCACAUCAUGCAUACGUAAGAAGUCGCAACGAUGUCUGGAUAACGACUGAGUAACACGACUAAUCUUCGGCAGUGGUUUUUAGCAUUUAACAUGAACAACUUGUGCAUUCUAAUGCCUAGAAGAACGAGCGAACCGAGAGAAAAACCUUUCAUUUGCAAAUGUCCAUAAAUCAAUUUUCUUCAUUAAUAAGUAUUCUCAUCAAUCUUUAUUUGAUAUCUUUCCCUCGCUAAAAAUAAUGUUUUACAAAUUGCAAAAAAUAUAUUUAAUACGUAAUUAUCUCGUACGAUUUAUAAAAGCUCAUAUAGCCAUUAAAUGUUAUUAUAUAUCUGUCUGGCCAUAAUUACAGAUAUUUCGCUAGUACUAGUGAUUACAGUCGAUCUUAUAUUCGAAAAUUCGAAGUUAGCGCUUUUAACGUCUCCAUAACCUCACUCGCUUAACAUAACCGCAACCAUAGCGUGCAAAUUUCAUUUCCUCCUUACUUUUUACUUUACCGUUGAGGUCGACUACGAUUCAGCGAGAUUCUUUCCUCCACAGAACUUACCAUAAGGCUAUAUGCCACUAAUUAUCUUUACUGUAUGAAAAAUCAAAGAUAUUUUAGCAGAAAUAUCGAUGGUGGUUUGCAAACGAUUCAGUACAUGAUAAGUUGCUAUGGAGAUACUGACUCGAUUCUCGUUCGUCGAAGAGCCGAUUAAAAGGGUGGAUCGAAAUUGACGGCUUAAUUUAAUUCAGAGGGCAGGCAUACAACGUUGCAACAUCUCUUUUUGGUUCAGCCAGGACAUUCGCUUCCGAGAAUGCCAUGGAGAAAUGUCUUCAUCGAGCUGCUUAGUGGCAACUGCCACAUCACAGUUUUUGCUGCUGUUCCCUUUCAAGCUUUUUAUCGUUCAUGGAAUUGACGAACAUUUCUGGUUCACAGUAUGAUUCUAAACGAGACGAAGAUUCGAUCUAAAAUCAUGGCUUUAAUUAAUCACCAUGUUCGGUAAUUGAGAAAUAGAACGACUGGUCCAAUAUUUAUAACGUUUGUUUGUAUUAGUGAAGUAGUACGGCUCAUUCUAUUUCAAGGGAUUCAGCAAAAACAGCUACCUCGCCACCAGGGUUUCAAUCAAAGCUGUACUUCGUCUUCCUUCAAUCAUUCCAAGCAUUUCCUUCAUUUGAAAAGGAUGAAGGUUUCCUCAAUCAAUUUUUUGCCGUUAUGGAUUACCCUUUUUCUAUCGGUCCAGAGGUUUAGACGUCAAUGGUCCGCUAGUUCAAGGUAGAUUGAAAAUUCUGUUAGACAAUUGAAACGUGCAUCUCUGUAAUUGAAUCUUUUUACUCGAAGACUCGAAUAGAUAACUUACAGCAUAAAUUUAGUGGUCUAGUUCUUUCAUUCCUAGUUCAUUAAUUUCAUCUCAAUGAUCUACUAUUCAGAAAGCGUUCAUCUCUAUAUCCCAUCAAACGAAAUGGUGACUGUAUCAUUACUUUAACAGCAGGACAUAUUUCUAACGUCUAAAGUAACAGGAUCGCUUCUGACACUCUACUAAAACAGGUGGCACACGAUUGUCUGAGAGAAACCUGGUUGGUUAUGCGCACAUGCGCAUGCGCAUACGCGCGCGAGAACACCGUGUAGUAACCGGUACAAGGCACACCAUGUACCGGAAUUAUUAACUGUUAUGCAGAUGAAUCUCUUAUGCUUCUUCCACGCAUAACACCGAGUGCUCGAACUUUUCAACCUCCGCGCCGAAGGCGUUCACUCUAUCCGACCGAGAUCCUCCAUCAUCGACAACGUUGAUCUGAGUACCGCUGCCGUUCUAGCUUUAUACGGUAGCCGCGACUGCUCUCCGCGUUAACGAGCUGCGAAUGCGUGCGUGUCACGAGCUGGGAGGAGAGCAAUUUGCAAUUCUUCUGCUUCUUUUAUCUUGGAUUUUCCGUGAUUCUAUAUAUCAACGAAGGAUCUCUCGUAACUAUAAAAUAUGGAUUACUCUUUUAUAUAGAAAUUUAAGUCUAAGAUCGAGGGAGUCUUUACUUCCUUAUCCCGGAUUUUCUGAGACUUGAAGAAUCAAAGGAAAGUUCUCCUGAUUUUUUAUAAUAUUAUAAAUUAUUUUUAUUGAGAGGGUUUCAAAAUUUUAUUAGGGGAUUGACAACAUUUUUAAGGGGUAUAUGGAAACUUUUUUUUGCUUUCAACUGAUUAGAAUUUAAAUUUUAAUUUAGAUCUAGAUAUUUUAUACCUUUACGUUAAGAAGGCAGAGUUAAUGAUGGUUUUUGAAUUUCUAGGUUACCGUGACAGCGGGACUUUCCCACAAUUUCUCGACUUUUCCAGCUACUUUCAGUUUUAUUUAAACAUACUACAUUUCUCAUGGGCUUUUACUUUCGGUUUUACUGGUUUUAUACUGGAUUCCAGUGUCGAACUAUUGAGAUAGGCAUUAAUGGACAGCGCAUUAAUCGUCCAGACUUCACUAAACAUAAAUCACACAAAUACUUAAACGUUAUCUUCGCGACGACUACUCAUUGUUAUUCCCAAUUCUACCUUAUAUAUUCACAAAUUUCAUUCUGUGAGAUUUGUACAAGCUUAUUUACAUACGUUAGAACCACUUUGUAAUGCUCUGAUGACCAUUGUUCAACGAAUGAAUCAAAAGCCUACAGUAAACACUACGUGUAGAAUACAUAGCGUAUCAUAUUUGAAGCGCACUUCCUGGAUUCUCAGAAUAACAGGGUAGGUGACAAUUAUACGUGCAUACAUAUAUGCACAUAUACUUUCCAAUUUCAACUUCAUUCCAACAAAUACAGUAAAAACAAAACAGUCCAUUGAUUCUACAAUUUUGUUCAAUAGUCAUUCGUUGUUAUUUUUAGCUAAACAUCUGGAAUGAAGUGAGAAAUACGUUAGUAAGGAAAUAAAAUCUAACCCAACGUUGACCUUUGAUUCGCCGAUUCCAACUGUUCAACGACUCCUCUCCACCUCUACACCUGUCGUCCAGUGAAACAGCUGGUGCAAGCCGAAUAUCCAGUGGUGUAUCACCGAACUUCGCUAUGAGGUGACCGGCCUACGUUUUCCUCCUUUUCCCGCGUUUAUAUUUAGCACGGUCGCCACCAGUUUACGACACGCGAGGAAUUUUUCGUCCUGGGGAACUGGUUUCUUUCCUUGGAUCUAACAAGCGUUGUGCAUUCGGUCUGAAAUGAUUCUUUAAUUUCAUUUGUUGAUUAUGCUUUGAUCCUUCAACAAUCUGAGCCAUAAGUAGCCAGGUUCAGAAUAGGUCACAAUGGUGUUUAAUUUGAAAUGUUUUCUUUGCUUUUGAUUAAUCAUACAUAUGUGUGUAUGUGAUUCGACUAUUUCUCUCUCUUUCUCUCUCUCUCUCUAUGUUUAUUUGUUUGUGUGAUUCGAUACAGUCGAGCUGUAAACAGAAAUGAAAGUGUUGAAGUGUAUGUUUAAGGUUAGGUUUAUAGCUGCAAAGAUACUGAAGAAAUAUUUAGUAGUGCAAUAUGAUUUCUUUCCUAUCUAAAUUUGGAGCUCAGAAAAUUCUAAAAAUUGUCGAUUCCUUUUGUUCAAACGUCUAGUUGUUGGAGAUUUAUUACGGUGACGAACAAUAUUGUUCGAUACAGGUAUUUCUUGUCCUAGACAGACCUGAGAUAAUAGUCUACUAUUACAGAAGAGGGCAGAUUCUUUCCGAAGAAUCAUUGUAGCCCUCGUACACCGGAAAUGCGUGAUCAACAAAUCGUUCGAGUCUGUUUACGGAAAGGAGAAGUCAAUGGAUGAUGGUUUUUAUACUACUCCGAGAUCAUUUUCUGUUCGAACGUCCGGUUUUUAGUACCGUGCAGUAUUGAGCUCGGGCAAAUUGACGGUAUAGAACAGUCGAGGAUUAAUCUCUCUCGAAAUUAUGAUUUUUCUACUUGUUAACGACUACGAUUCUUCAACAUGCGAGUUUGCGUUCCUAACCUGCACAUGUAACACCAUUAUUAUUGCAAGUUUUGUUUCGCAAUUGCGUCUGCAGAACUCAAAAAAUGCAUCGCUUGAACUUCAGAUUCUAAGUCAUGCGUUAAAUCAUUUUUCUUUUCACGAUAUUUUGAAUUAUUCAGUAAUACUUAUUAUACCUAAUGGAAAUAUCAAACAGAGUAGUUCUUAAUUAGAAUAAUUAGACAAAUUUUGGAAGAUUCAAAACUGACAAAAGGACUUAUUCUAACCUUAGUAUCAUAAAAAUGGGACUAGUAGUUGGCGCCUAAAGUAGGUGGAGUUGCGAACCGCCUUAAGCUACUAAAUAUUCCAUUCCGCCUAUAUUCUGUCCCAAAUUACCUAUCCAAUCACCAAUGCUGUCCUUGAAACAAUUUUCUAACCUAAAACUAAUCUAAGUUCAUCAUUCAUCAACUCUUAAAUUUUAUUUACCAUCUUACAUAUUUUAAACUACAAUAUUAUUGAAUCUUAUUUAACUUUCUUAACUGGUUUUAAUUUCCAUUUGCAUAUUAUCGUUAAGGCAGUUCCAUAAUAGUGUAAUUAUAGUAUAAUUCUUCUGUUUUAAUUCACGAAGAUUGUGAAGCCACGGUGAUGUGUGCGCGCACUUUCUUUCCCGCGCUUAUGCGAUCAGCCCUCCCCCGGUUCCCACGAGCAUUCUCCUGCUCAUUACGACUUCCCGAGGCAGAGGUGCACACGGAACCAAGUCGGUUUCUCGAAAGGAACACCGGUAACAACUCGACCCUCGACUGCUCCGUCAAUAGUAGCUGCUCGAAUGCGGCCUGUUUCAAUAUUUGUAAAUCCUGCCAUUCCCCCCCUGCCCCUGUUACGUCGACACUCGACAGUUCUCUGCUCGUCAGGAUACAAACAAGGCGAUUCGACUUCUUAACCGGGGAAACUUGUUCAGAAAGGAUGGAGAAGGUUAAUCUGGUCUUUAUUAAACAUUUUCUUUUUGUACUUCUAUAGUUGGACAGUGGAGAACUCCUUAUGGUUAACAAGAAUUUUUUAUAUCUUUCUUUUUGCAUUUGUUAUAGAUUCUCAAAUUAGGUUAUAUAAAUAAUAAAUCUGGCUUAAAUGUCCUUCUUUUAAAUUUCAGCUUAAAUAAUAUCUGGUAAUGUUGGGAAUUGAAGAUAUAGAAAGAAAUAAGUAUAUAUAUAAACAGUCAAAGCUAUUAUGUAGUAUAAAUUAAACAAAAUAUUUAACGAAAUUAAUUAAACAAAAUAAAACAAUUAUAUUCUCUAAAUUGAACUAAAACUGGCUAUCUUUUGUCAUAUAAGUAAUUACGAUUGAAAUUAUAAAGUUAUUAGAAAUAAAAAUAUAAUAUUAAAAUAUUGUCAACGACACAAACAUUUCAUGUACGGCAAUAGUCAACUAACACGAGGUUUCAGUUAUCCAAAGGUUUCAUAAGAGAAAGGAUACAGCGGAUAUUUAUCAUGAUCACCAUAAUUACAUCAAACCACUCCUAUCCGUAAUUGCCACGAAACUCCGUAUUAGAUAUAUGCAAUAAAUCCCCAUGAACGGUGAGCGUUCGUGAAUUUAUUAACUUCUUGUUGUCGACUUACAUAAACGAAACACGUUUUCAAUUUUAUUCAUCAAAUAUUUCUAAUAUUUCCUUGUCAUGUAUUUAUAGUACCAUAAAAUACAUUGACAUUUCGUUAUUAUUUAUUGAAUUCAAAGUGAUACAUAAUUGAUUGUUAAAAGCUGUCCAUAUUCUAGAUUUCAGAUCUUCAAAGAUGAUAGUAUGUAAAGUGUCUAAUUUAAUGCAUAUUACAUGAGCCUACGAUCAGAAUUUUAAUUAAGAUAGAACCUUUCUAAGACUAUUUUUAAAAAGGGAUACUUUCGCUCACAAGCUGUGAAUACUAUAAACUAUAUUAUAUACCCAAAUUCUUUCCAAUAUUCCUCUCUAAUUUAUUAUUUACAUUUAGCAUUCUACCAGUUUAAAAAAUCACUAGAAAUCAGUUCUUCCAAACUCAAUAGGUUUCACAUUUAAUCCCAGCAAAAACUUCAAAAAUGACAAAGAACAUAAAAAAUAAAUGCCAUUAAUUGACUCAAUGUAAUACAAUUCCUUAACUUCAGUCAUUCCAAAUAAAAGCACACCGUAACCUAACCUCAAAUCGAAGGUCGAAUCGCGCCGUAUAAUCGUAGACACUCGAAGCGCGUGGUGUAAACAAUAUGUUCCGCCUGCGAGAGAGGCACUGCACGAGCCUCAAGGUCCAAACGCGAUCGGUAGGAACGAAAAAAGGAGUUGUUAAUGGAAGUGGAGUUCCAUCGGGCGCGAGCGAGCUGGCCAAGUGUAUAAGGAAAUCCAGUCGGGGAAUUAUGCAGAUUGUAGGUUGGAAUCCAUCUGCUGAUGGCUCGGACGGGGCAUACUCGAACCUACGUGAGUUCAUCCACGGCACAGGACCAACUACCCAUCAGUUCUGCCUGUCGGUUUCGUUGCCUCCACUAGCAGGACGUUCCUCUUUCUUCUAUCUGUACUUUUGGCCUCUCCAUCCUUUCCUUCUACGAAACGGUACGAGGGAAGCAGGAGGUUGGUGGAAGAAGCUUGAUCAUUUCCGUGGAAUUACGGGGCUGUGAACGGUACAAAGUUACCUAGGGAGAAAGGGGGAAGAGUUAAAUUAAUGAAAUCGCGACGCGCAAGCCACGACGAGCAGCUAUUAGCCUGGAAUGUUCAAAUUGUUCCUGGCUUACGGUCGAGGUUUUAUGAUUGAACUUUGAACUUAUCUUUUGCGUUAGAAAAGACGAUAUCCUUGUAAAGUUCUGGCUGCGAGGAUUUGGUCGAGUUCUUUGGUGAUUACAUGGGUAACUAUGCAAAGAAUGUUCGAUAAAAUUCCCUAGGGAAUUGGAAUGGCACGGUUGGCUGUGUGAUUGGAGAAACAAGUUUUGGAAUCUGUAGUAGAAUUGUUUGCGUGUAGCACGGUCUGUAUCGUUAGAGAGGAAGUUCAAUGUCCUUAUAAAAAUUCCCUGUGGGGCUUACGGUUGGUUAUACUACUAGGGAAAAUGGUAAAAUGCUUUCUAAAUAAAUACUUGAAAAAGCUUUACGGAAA